RNAcentral lists this ribosomal RNA (254 nucleotides) under uncultured bacterium. RNAcentral describes it as "partial 16S ribosomal RNA". It matches the Rfam family "Bacterial small subunit ribosomal RNA", at positions 524 to 776 of the family's 1533-position model. The record is from RNAcentral.
CACGUAGGGGGCGAGCGUUGUCCGGAUUUAUUGGGCGUAAAGAGCUCGUAGGCGGCUCAGUAAGUCAGGUGUGAAAACUCCAGGCUCAACCUGGAGACGCCACUUGAUACUGCUGUGGCUAGAGUCCGGUAGGGGAGCAUGGAAUUCCUGGUGUAGCGGUGAAAUGCGCAGAUAUCAGGAGGAACACCAGUGGCGAAGGCGGUGCUCUGGGCUGGAACUGACGCUGAGGAGCGAAAGCGUGGGGAGCAAACAGG